AUUGAACGCUGGCGGCAUGCCUUACACAUGCAAGUCGAACGGCAGCACGGGUGCUUGCACCUGGUGGCGAGUGGCGAACGGGUGAGUAAUACAUCGGAACAUGUCCUGUAGUGGGGGAUAGCCCGGCGAAAGCCGGAUUAAUACCGCAUACGAUCUACGGAUGAAAGCGGGGGCCCUUCGGGCCUCGCGCUAUAGGGUUGGCCGAUGGCUGAUUAGCUAGUUGGUGGGGUAAAGGCCUACCAAGGCGACGAUCAGUAGCUGGUCUGAGAGGACGACCAGCCACACUGGGACUGAGACACGGCCCAGACUCCUACGGGAGGCAGCAGUGGGGAAUUUUGGACAAUGGGCGAAAGCCUGAUCCAGCAAUGCCGCGUGUGUGAAGAAGGCCUUCGGGUUGUAAAGCACUUUUGUCCGGAAAGAAAUCCUUGGCCCUAAUACGGUCGGGGGAUGACGGUACCGGAAGAAUAAGCACCGGCUAACUACG
RNAcentral lists this ribosomal RNA (484 nucleotides) under uncultured bacterium. RNAcentral's name for it is "partial 16S ribosomal RNA". It matches the Rfam family "Bacterial small subunit ribosomal RNA", at positions 30 to 505 of the family's 1533-position model. The record is from RNAcentral.